Molecule: long non-coding RNA, 429 nt
Filed under: Populus trichocarpa (black cottonwood)
Lineage: Eukaryota; Viridiplantae; Streptophyta; Magnoliopsida; Malpighiales; Salicaceae
Description: long non-coding RNA (PTRI_LNC004789)
Source: RNAcentral
CCUGGUUUUGAAUUGAGACAAGGAAGUGGAAGUCUCGACACGGACCUCGACGGAGAGAGCAAAGAGAGCGAGGAGAGAGAGAGCGACGCCGUGUAAGAGAAGAGAAAGAGGGAGAGAGAAGAGGACGAUGACAAUAAAAAGCGUAACCACCGCUCUCUCGCCGUUAAGUAACUGCGAAAACGAGACAGCGGCCAUGGCGACUCCGCUGUCAAGCUGGAAUCAAAAACAAAGGAUUCGUUUUGAUUGAGAAAGGAAACGGAGGAAGGAAACGGUGUAUUUUUUUUUCUCGAAAAGGAUGGGGUUGAGGCUCAGAGCCGUCGGGAGGAGUCGUUCGGUUAGGUGGCCGGCUCGGUGACUUAAUUGGUGGGCCCCACCAAAACGUGUUUCAGUCAAUGAUAGGAUUCCACAUCAGCUGCCACUGUGUUCUCC